Ornithodoros turicata is the source of this 1948-nucleotide long non-coding RNA. RefSeq lists it as uncharacterized. The record is from RefSeq and is a predicted model, not a curated record. The transcript is spliced from 4 exons. NCBI's taxonomy places the organism in Eukaryota, Metazoa, Arthropoda, Arachnida, Ixodida, Argasidae.
CUCUGCUGUCACGAACUGUAUUCUCUUCACGGCGUUGAUGUACAAGGACAACAUCUGCUAUGCUAGACAGUUCUUCCUAAAGCUCCGCUUCAUCGUCGAUAAGGGCGGUUUGUGCAGCAAGUGACACGGGUUACUACAUCAACGAAAAUGAAUAAAUAUAAAAAUGCCAAACGGAGAUGUGAUCCAAGAUGGUGAGACUAGCUACUUUGAUAAGGCAUUUCAGAGACGUGCCAGGUUCUGCAACUAAAGACAUUUUUUACAUGGAACACGUGAAACGUGCGAUUCUUCUAGUACAAGAACGGACGGGCGGAGGAAGAGCAUUCUUCCGUGAAAGCCGGAAGGGAACGCACCGGAACUCGCCGAGGAAGUUUACCAGGCAGCCGGAAAGAAGGGACUAAUUUUAGACACCUUCUUCCAAUCUCUUCAACCAUGGAAAUAUCGCAGUCUGGAAACGUACAUGCAUCAUUUCAUCUGCGCACAUUAAGAACGUGCCGUCCAUGUUGAGUCCCCUCCAUCCAAAACCCGGUUUCCUGGGGUGCGAGCUGGCUCGACUGCGCGCUGUUCUCCGGCGGAGAAGAGAGAGAUUGGCGUCCAGUUGCUAGGCGACGCAGCCGCCCCGGACACAAGAUGGCGGGCUCGCUCGCCGGUGUGGUUCAGUGUCACUACUCUGCUCACUAUUUAGUGACUCGAGUAGACGACACGCAAAGAGAGAGAAAGGCCGACAGGAAUGCGCAAAUAUGUUCUUACUGGUUACAACCGCUCAAACCGCCGACGUUUUCAAGGGUUGCUACUCUUCAAAACAGGUCCAACAAUAAUUAGUAACUUGCCUCAAAUGCGUAACGUACUACCUCAAAAUCACGUGAUACCUGUCCACCAAUCCGGAGCGGGUUUCCCACUGUUUUCCAAAGCGAACGUAAGGGCACCGCCGUCCACUUUCUAGAAGCGUUCAAAAAGAAUUUGUACGGAAAGUAUACGAAGAACCAGAGCGUCGAACCGAAACGGUUUUCGGUUUGUUCCGGGUUCGGGUUCGGCCAUAAAGGUUCGGUUCCGGAGUUCACAUCUAUCGGUUCGAUUAACCGUUUCUUAGGAUGUAAACCGGUUCGGAACCGGUUCGAGGUUCUAACCUGCUCCAAAGUUAUAGGUAGCCACUAAAAAUGAUAGAAGAUCUCUUAGUUACGUCUUUAUGCAUUUAUUUCUGUUUUGCGACCAACAGGACCGCCUUUCAUUCCUUCCCCGAGCAACGUGCUGCCGAUCUCAGCAGGCAGAGCGCUCGAAUCCUCACAUUACCCUCCACCACAUCACCAACCCGAACCGAUCCGGUAACCGAAGUUUUUAGAUCGGUUCGGUUCCGGUUCGGCCCCAAGCUGGCGGUAGUAAUUUCGGUUCAGUUCCGGUUCAGUUCCAGCUAAAAAUUACGGUUAAUUCCGGUUUUCGGUUUCGGUUCCGGUUCUGUUCGACGCUCUGCGAAGAACUGAGAGGAGAUGACUUGUGUAUGUCAUCCCAAAGCCAGGUUCUACCUGGUGGUAUAUCUUAAAACGUUUUGGUACAUAUUUCAGUUUACAGACUCGUUUAUAAUCUCUCUCUCCCUCUCCGUGUGAGUUUUCUGUAUCUACGGCGUUGGCACUAUCAGUUUUUUUUGUUUUUUUUUCCUUUCCCUGCACAGCCUGGCGAAAUUAAGUGCCGUUCUGAUAAGACGCCUAAUAGCCACUCCCAUGCACCUGGAGUUUCUGUACGUUUCGCAUGGGAAAAGUAGCUCAUUCGCUUAUCAGGAAGAGAUAAGAACAGUAUCAAGUAUGUGCAUGAAGUUGUGUAAACAAAAACUUGGUUCAUUAGGACUCUUUAUGACUCCUGAUGACUCGUUCAACAUUUAGCACUUUGUGACUUGCUGUCUCUGUGUUGAUUGAUUGACUGACUGAUUGAGAUAUAUAAAUGUGUGUUGUGUUCGUGA